CUACUUUGGCAGCACUUAUACUAAAACUGGAACAACACAGAGGAUAUGAGCAUGGUCCCUGUGCAAGGAGGCCACACAAAUUUGUGAAGCAUUCCAUGUUUUU
This 103-nucleotide small nuclear RNA is filed under the name Tupaia belangeri (northern tree shrew). The record is from RNAcentral. Lineage: Eukaryota; Metazoa; Chordata; Mammalia; Scandentia; Tupaiidae.